AGGAGCCGUGCGAGAUAAAAGUCUCAUGCACGGUUUUGAAUGAGAGAAAGAAGUGAGGAAUCCUCUUUUCGACUCUGAC
Non-coding RNA from Populus trichocarpa (black cottonwood), 79 nucleotides. Lineage: Eukaryota; Viridiplantae; Streptophyta; Magnoliopsida; Malpighiales; Salicaceae. The record is from Rfam.